Molecule: ribosomal RNA, 253 nt
Filed under: uncultured bacterium
Lineage: Bacteria
Description: partial 16S ribosomal RNA
Rfam family: Bacterial small subunit ribosomal RNA
Source: RNAcentral
UACGGAGGGGGCUAGCGUUAUUCGGAAUUAUUGGGCGUAAAGGGCGCGUAGGCGGCCCGGUAAGUCAAAGGUGAAAUCCCUCGGCUCAACUGAGGAACUGCCUUUGAAACUGCCGGGCUUGAGGCCGGGAGGGGGUAGCGGAAUUCCCAGUGUAGCGGUGAAAUGCGUAGAUAUUGGGAGGAACACCGGUGGCGAAGGCGGCUACCUGGACCGGUUCUGACGCUGAUGCGCGAAAGCGUGGGUAGCAAACAGG